RNAcentral lists this ribosomal RNA (520 nucleotides) under Conus ardisiaceus. RNAcentral describes it as "partial 12S ribosomal RNA". Lineage: Eukaryota; Metazoa; Mollusca; Gastropoda; Neogastropoda; Conidae. The record is from RNAcentral.
UUCAGGUNAAAGACAGUUAGGCAACUGAAAAUCAUCAGACCUUUAUURUAGKGGUAAAAUGYAAAUAUYAUUGGUUAUACCAAGCAUGAUUAUUUUAAAUGCUGAAUCUGUGACGACUUUAAGGGAAACUGGGAUUGGAUACCCCAUUAUUUUUAGUAGUAAAUUUAAUUUAAGUUUACCAGAGUACUACGAAUAAAAAAUUUAAAACUCAAAGAGCUUGGCGGUGUUUUAGACCUCUCAGGGGAACCUGUCUCGUAAUCGACAAUCCACGUUAUACCCGACCCUUUAUGGCAAUUCAGUCUGUAUACCGUUGUCGUCAGUCAACUUCUUAAAAUAUAGUAGUUAGCUUGAGAAUUUUAUUAAUUAAUACGUCAGAUCAAGGUGCAGCUAAUAAAAGGGAGAGGAUGGGUUACAAUUAUAUAUUUGUAAUUACGAAAGAUAUUUUAAAAGAGAUAUUCAAAAGGAGGACUUGAAAGUAAUUUUGAUUAGAUAAACAAAAUGAAUAAGGCUCUGAAACGUG